GUUAUUUUUUUUGAGAGUUCUUAUCGAAGAAAAAGUUUGCGACCUCGAUGUUGAAUUAAAGUUUCUUUGUGGUGUAGCCGCUAUAAGAGAGA
Molecule: ribosomal RNA, 92 nt
Filed under: Paralomis granulosa
Lineage: Eukaryota; Metazoa; Arthropoda; Malacostraca; Decapoda; Lithodidae
Description: partial 16S ribosomal RNA
Source: RNAcentral